AGCCGGUCCCAAGGGUAUGGCUGUUCGCCAUUUAAAGAGGUACGUGAGCUGGGUUUAGAACGUCGUGAGACAGUUUGGUCCCUAUCUGCCGUAGGUGUAGGAAUUUUGAGAGGAGCUGCCCCUAGUACGAGAGGACCGGGGUGGACAUACCUCUGGUGGAGCUGUUGUCACGCCAGUGGCAUUGCAGCGUAGCUAAGUAUGGACGGGAUAACCGCUGAAAGCAUCUAAGCGGGAAACCUGCCUCAAGAUGAGAUUUCCCGGGCCUUCGGGCCCCUAAAGGACCGUAGAAGACUACUACGUUGAUAGGUUGGGUGUGUAAGCGCUGUGAGGCGUUGAGCUAACCAAUACUAAUUGUCCGUGAGGCUUGAUC
This 370-nucleotide ribosomal RNA is filed under the name Pteridomonas danica. RNAcentral describes it as "partial Bacterial large subunit ribosomal RNA". It matches the Rfam family "Bacterial large subunit ribosomal RNA", at positions 2557 to 2925 of the family's 2925-position model. The record is from RNAcentral. Lineage: Eukaryota; Dictyochophyceae; Pedinellales.